AUUGAACGCUGGCGGCAGGCCUAACACAUGCAAGUCGAGCGGAAGCGCGGAGCUAGCCCCUGGAUUCAGCGGCGGACGGGUGAGUAAUGCGUAGGAAUCUGCCUGGUAGUGGGGGAUAACGUCCGGAAACGGGCGCUAAUACCGCAUACGUCCUGCGGGAGAAAGUGGGGGAUCGUCGGACCUCACGCCAACAGAUGAGCCUAGGUCGGAUUAGCUAGUUGGUGGGGUAAAGGCCUACCAAGGCGACGAUCCGUAACUGGUCUGAGAGGAUGAUCAGUCACACUGGAACUGAGACAAGGUCCAGACUCCUACGGGAGGCAGCAGUGGGGAAUAUUGGACAAUGGGCGAAAGCCUGAUCCAGCCAUGCCGCGUGUGUGAAGAAGGUCUUCGGAUUGUAAAGCACUUUGAGUGGGGAAGAAAGGCAGUAAGCUAAUACCUUGCGGUUUUGACGUUACCAACAGAAUAAGCACCGGCUAACUUCGUG
RNAcentral lists this ribosomal RNA (484 nucleotides) under uncultured bacterium. RNAcentral describes it as "partial 16S ribosomal RNA". It matches the Rfam family "Bacterial small subunit ribosomal RNA", at positions 30 to 507 of the family's 1533-position model. The record is from RNAcentral.